RNAcentral lists this long non-coding RNA (254 nucleotides) under Pan troglodytes (chimpanzee). RNAcentral's name for it is "long non-coding RNA NONPTRT010982". Lineage: Eukaryota; Metazoa; Chordata; Mammalia; Primates; Hominidae. The record is from RNAcentral.
GGGCCAGGGUCCCAGCGACACAGAGAGGGGGCCGGGUCCCAGCGACACAGAGAGGGGCCCAGGGGCCCAGGGUCCCAGCGCGACACAGAGAGGGGCCCGGGUCACAGCGACACAGAGAGGGGGCUGGGUCCCAGCGACACAGAAGCUGUUUUAGCUGAAAUCACUUUGCCUUAAAGGCUUCCUGGGUAGAGUGUGUCCUGCCCGUCCCAGCUGCACCCCUUUGCUCAUCAAAUCCCAACUUCAUCCUUCUCUCC